GUUAAAGUGGCAGAGACCGGUAAUUGCAUAAAACUUAAACCUUUAGAUUCGAAGGUUCGAUUCCUUCCUUUAACA
This 75-nucleotide transfer RNA is filed under the name Plecotus macrobullaris. RNAcentral's name for it is "tRNA-Leu". It matches the Rfam family "tRNA". From Rfam's summary of the family: Transfer RNA (tRNA) molecules are approximately 80 nucleotides in length. Lineage: Eukaryota; Metazoa; Chordata; Mammalia; Chiroptera; Vespertilionidae. The record is from RNAcentral.